This 274-nucleotide long non-coding RNA is filed under the name Callithrix jacchus (white-tufted-ear marmoset). Its description in RNAcentral is "lncRNA (ENSCJAG00000082803.1)". Lineage: Eukaryota; Metazoa; Chordata; Mammalia; Primates; Cebidae. The record is from RNAcentral.
UCUGUUUUGAAAUUCAAAGUGUAAAAUGGGGAUAUGGAGGAAUGGGCAAGACUUGAAUGCACAUGUUUCGUCGCCCAGGUUUGGAUUGCAUUCUUACCCAAAUACUCUUCGUGAUGGCCUGCUUUGCGGCUUUGGGGCAAUGCUGAUUCAAAUCUGCUCAAGAUGCAGUGUUGCACAGCUAAGCAUCUUCUUGAUUACAAUCCGCCACACUUCUAACUGCGCUCAUUCGCACUGCCACGGAUACUUUGUCAACAGUCAAAUUACACCACGCUGA